CCUACGGGUGGCAGCAGUGAGGAAUAUUGGUCAAUGGACGAGAGUCUGAACCAGCCAAGUAGCGUGAAGGAUGACUGCCCUCUGGGUGGUAAACUUCUUUUAUAAAGGAAUAAAACGAGGCACGUGUGCCUUUUUGUCUGUACUUUAUGAAUAAGGAUCGGCUAACUCCGUGCCAGCAGCCGCGGUAAUACGGAGGAUCCGAGCGUUAUCCGGAUUUAUUGGGUUUAAAGGGAGCGUAGAUGGGUUGUUAAGUCAGUUGUGAAAGUUUGCGGCUCAACCGUAAAAUUGCAAUUGAUACUGGCAGUCUUGAGUACAGUUGAGGUAGGCGGAAUUCGUGGUGUAGCGGUGAAAUGCUUAGAUAUCACGAAGAACACCGAUUGCGAAGGCAGCUUACUAAACUGCCACUGACAUUGAUGCUCGAAAGUGUGGGUAUCAAACAGGAUUAGAUACCCCAGUAGUC
RNAcentral lists this ribosomal RNA (460 nucleotides) under uncultured bacterium. RNAcentral describes it as "partial 16S ribosomal RNA". It matches the Rfam family "Bacterial small subunit ribosomal RNA", at positions 338 to 795 of the family's 1533-position model. The record is from RNAcentral.